GAUGAACGCUAGCUACAGGCUUAACACAUGCAAGUCGAGGGGUAACGAGAGGAAAGCUUGCUUUCCUUGUCGACGACCGGCGCACGGGUGAGUAACGCGUAUCCAACCUGCCCCCAACUAGGGAAUAACCUUGCGAAAGUAAGACUAAUACCCUAUAAUUUCCUCAGAUGUCAUCUGACGAGGAAUAAAGAUUUAUCGGUUGUGGAUGGGGAUGCGUCUGAUUAGCUUGUUGGCGGGGUAACGGCCCACCAAGGCAACGAUCAGUAGGGGUUCUGAGGGGAAGGUCCCCCACAUUGGAACUGGGACACGGUCCAAACUCCUACGGGAGGCAGCAGUGAGGAAUAUUGGUCAAUGGGCGGAAGCCUGAACCAGCCAAGUAGCGUGCAGGAUGGCGGCCCUAUGGGUUGUAAACUGCUUUUAUACAGGAAUAAAGUUAGCCACGUGUGGUUAUUUGUAGGUACUGUAUGAAUAAGGACCGGCUAAUUCCGUGCCAGCCGCCGCCGUAA
This 506-nucleotide ribosomal RNA is filed under the name uncultured bacterium. Its description in RNAcentral is "partial 16S ribosomal RNA". It matches the Rfam family "Bacterial small subunit ribosomal RNA", at positions 28 to 523 of the family's 1533-position model. The record is from RNAcentral.